UGCGUAGGCGGCGCGGUAAGUCGGGUGUGAAAUCUCGGAGCUUAACUCCGAAACUGCAUUCGAUACUGCCGUGCUUGAGGACUGGAGAGGAGACUGGAAUUUACGGUGUAGCGGUGAAAUGCGUAGAUAUCGUAAGGAAGACCAGUGGCGAAGGCGGGUCUCUGGACAGUUCCUGACGCUGAGGCACGAAGGCCAGGAGCAACG
Molecule: ribosomal RNA, 204 nt
Filed under: uncultured bacterium
Lineage: Bacteria
Description: partial 16S ribosomal RNA
Rfam family: Bacterial small subunit ribosomal RNA
Source: RNAcentral